Mus musculus (house mouse) is the source of this 556-nucleotide long non-coding RNA. RefSeq annotates it as predicted gene, 33656. The transcript has 4 exons. Lineage: Eukaryota; Metazoa; Chordata; Mammalia; Rodentia; Muridae. The record is from RefSeq and is a predicted model, not a curated record.
CCCCAGACUGUGCUUUUGAGAGACAUACUGUCGAAGCAACAAAAGAGUGUGAUGGCUUUUCCAAUGCAAGCAAGAAGUCCUACCUCAGAGGAUGGCUGUAUCAUGGAAAACAUUAUGCUACACUACGUCAGACCACAUAUGUAGCACCUGCAGCAUAACGCCUCAACACACCACAGGGAUGGUGGUGGUAACGAAGGAACCACACUGGGAUACGGGCAGCUGAGGUCUGGAGUUACAGGGUCACACACAUAGGAUGUUGGGUACGUUUGACCCCCAGCAACAGAGUGACAUUCCAAUUUUUCCAAGCCAAUACUCAGUACCCAACUCCAGAGAACAGCCAGACAAAAAUCUCACGUGUCCCAGACUGAUCUCAGCUCACUACGCAGCCAAGAAUGACCUUGAACCCCUGAUCCUGCCUCCAUUUCUCCAGUGCUGGAAUUCCAGGUGUGUCUCACCAUGGCUGGCUUCGCUACAUCUUUUGUAUUUUUAAACAUUCUUCCUUCUUUUCAUUCUGCUGCUUCUUUUAAACAGGAAAUGAUUAAAGCACACCUUUAUA